UACAGGGGGGGCAAGCGUUGUUCGGAAUUACUGGGCGUAAAGGGCCAGUAGGCGGCCAACUAAGUCCGACGUGAAAUCCCCAGGCUUAACCUGGGAACUGCGUCGGAUACUGGAUGGCUUGAAUUCGGGAGAGGGAUGCAGAAUUCCAGGUGUAGCGGUGAAAUGCGUAGAUAUCUGGAGGAAUACCGGUGGCGAAGGCGGCAUCCUGGACCGACAUUGACGCUGAGGAACGAAAGCUAGGGGAGCAAACAGG
RNAcentral lists this ribosomal RNA (253 nucleotides) under uncultured bacterium. RNAcentral describes it as "partial 16S ribosomal RNA". It matches the Rfam family "Bacterial small subunit ribosomal RNA", at positions 524 to 776 of the family's 1533-position model. The record is from RNAcentral.